UACGUAGGGUGCAAGCGUUAAUCGGAAUUAUUGGGCGUAAAGCGCGCGCAGGUGGUUUCUUAAGUCUGAUGUGAAAGCCCACGGCUCAACCGUGGAGGGUCAUUGGAAACUGGGGAACUUGAGUGCAGGAGAGAAGAGUGGAAUUCCACGUGUAGCGGUGAAAUGCGUAGAGAUGUGGAGGAACACCAGUGGCGAAGGCGACUCUUUGGCCUGUAACUGACACUGAGGCGCGAAAAGCGUGGGGGAGCAAACAGG
This 255-nucleotide ribosomal RNA is filed under the name uncultured bacterium. Its description in RNAcentral is "partial 16S ribosomal RNA". It matches the Rfam family "Bacterial small subunit ribosomal RNA", at positions 524 to 776 of the family's 1533-position model. The record is from RNAcentral.